Molecule: unclassified non-coding RNA, 503 nt
Filed under: Hevea brasiliensis (rubber tree)
Lineage: Eukaryota; Viridiplantae; Streptophyta; Magnoliopsida; Malpighiales; Euphorbiaceae
Source: RNAcentral
CGGUGUUCCUCCUCCUUUGCUGCAUCUUUGUUGUUUGCAGGGCAUGGCAACAUUGUAUCAGCAACACUUGGGGGGAUACAAAUUCCAGCAAUGUAAUAUUGACUAAAUACAAGGGUUAACGAGAUGAAACCGAGAAUCAUCAACUCGGCCUUAACCUUCUCCAAGGCCUCAAAGAGAGCUUUUUUAUGCCUGUCAGUCAACCACGUUCCAAGUUUGUGCAAUAUCUUCUCUAAGGCAAUAGAAAUGAGGAUAAUAACUGCACAAACACCAGCCACAGCCCAAGUUGGUGUUUGAUCAAGUUGCCUUGAUGUACCAUCACCCCCACCUGCCAUUACUAACCCUCAACCCAACAAAAUUUCAAACUUUAUCUUGAAACACAGUAUUUCAGCUUCAGAUGUAUCAAGAAUUUCAAGAAAACUAAAUGGGUUCUUGUUAAAACCCUCAAAAGACUCUCAAGAAUCAAGAAAAUGCCAAAAAGACAUACAUUUUCAACUAGAACAGAG